CCCCUCUUUCUCUCCUCUCUGCCUCUCUCUCCUCUUCUUUUUUUCAUUUUGGCUUCUAUUCAAAUGUGGGUCAGGGGUGAGCGGCUCCCAACGUCACAAGCUUGCAAGAUGGCGCUGGGAGGAAGGCUGUGAGAUGAGGAACAGGCUGGUAUAAACCGAGAGGACAGGAGAGGGAGAGGAGGAGGAGAGGGGAAGGGGAAGAAAAGCUGCUGCUCCAGAUGCAAUAAGAAGGAAGCUAUUCUGUACUGAAUCAGCAUGGGAUAGAGUGCCUAGAAGACGUUCAGACCAAGCACAGCUAGCGGUGAGUAGGGCAGUAUACACUGGGAUGCCCUAUUGCAACUAUAA
Molecule: long non-coding RNA, 345 nt
Filed under: Melopsittacus undulatus (budgerigar)
Lineage: Eukaryota; Metazoa; Chordata; Aves; Psittaciformes; Psittaculidae
Description: lncRNA (ENSMUNG00000013365.2)
Source: RNAcentral